RNAcentral lists this long non-coding RNA (697 nucleotides) under Nicotiana benthamiana. RNAcentral describes it as "long non-coding RNA (NBEN_LNC035596)". The record is from RNAcentral. Lineage: Eukaryota; Viridiplantae; Streptophyta; Magnoliopsida; Solanales; Solanaceae.
UUUAGAAAAGAUUUUAGAGACUACAAAGGAAAACUUCUGCAAAAAAUAGAAAACAGGCUGAAAUUUCAUUAAAAACUACUGUUUCAUUGAACUUCUUCUGGAUUUUCUUGGAAGUUUUCAAUUUCUGAAGCACUUUUGAUUCAUCUGGGGUAAAAUGGACUAAACUUGGGUAUUGAAAAGAACUGGUUUGGGUUUUGUUGAUUGGUCUACUAUUUUAUUGAUUCUUCUAAGUGGAUUUUCACUUUUGGUUGCUGAAUCUGGGCUAAAUUUCUGCUGCUACUUUGCUGAUCUCUCACUUACCUGUUUCUAUUUCAAUUUCCAAGUACACAAUCUUAAGUCCUAUUGAUUGUGAAAUGGAUUUGAGGAGUGAAAUACAAAGCAAAAGGCUUAAAGCAUGGUGUUGAUUUAUUUGAGUUUCAGAUGUAUCUCUUUUCAAUGAUUGUGUUUUAGUAAAUUUAGUUCUUAUCCCUGUAUGUUAUCAUGGGAAUGUUAAGACUGUCGCAACAGAGGUUUAAUUUGGUUGUUAAUAGACUCUGGACUUUUUGUUUAGGUCUUACUAAAGAUUAGUAUUGCUUCAGCUCUAUUGUCCAUUUGAAUUUGUUAGAUGUCAAGUAUUGGUUCGUCGUUUGUGUUGACUUAACCAAGUCAUGCCUUGUUAGCAUACUAUACUUUUGCAGUCAUAUCUGUUGUAUUGAGC